GUGAACGCUAGCGGUGUGGAUAAGGCAUGCAAGUCGUACGGAACGAAGAUAUCGCGCAAGCGAAAUCUCCGUUUAGUGGCAAACGGGGCAGCAAUACCCUGGAAUCUACCUUCGAGUCGGAGAUAAUUCCGCGAAAGCGGAACUAAUAUCCGAUGGUUUCGCAAGAAUAAAGGCGCAAGCCGCUCGAAGAUGAGCCUGGGGCCGAUCAGCUAGUUGGUGGGGUAAUGGCUCACCAAGGCUAUGACCGGUAGGGGGCGUGAGAGCGCGUUCCUCGCCAGGGAAACUGAGACACGGUUCCCACUCCUACGGGAGGCAGCAGCCGAGAAUAUUCCACAAUGGACGAAAGUCUGAUGGAGCGACACCGCGUGCCGGAAGAAGCCCUUCGGGGUGUAAACGGCUUUUGCCAGGGAGGAAUGCCAACGCAAGUUGGUAUGACAGUACCUGGAGAAUAAGAGACGACUAACUUCGU
RNAcentral lists this ribosomal RNA (469 nucleotides) under uncultured bacterium. RNAcentral describes it as "partial 16S ribosomal RNA". It matches the Rfam family "Bacterial small subunit ribosomal RNA", at positions 29 to 506 of the family's 1533-position model. The record is from RNAcentral.